AAAAGAGAGGGAAAAAAGAGAGGGAAAAAAAAAGGGAAGGGGGGGGGGGGGCAAGAAAAGAGAGAGGAAUAUUCAACAGUGCUUCAUUCUAUUCUAUUCUGUGUCUUUUCUUCUCGCUUUC
Molecule: non-coding RNA, 121 nt
Filed under: Palpitomonas bilix
Lineage: Eukaryota
Source: RNAcentral